RNAcentral lists this ribosomal RNA (253 nucleotides) under uncultured bacterium. RNAcentral's name for it is "partial 16S ribosomal RNA". It matches the Rfam family "Bacterial small subunit ribosomal RNA", at positions 524 to 776 of the family's 1533-position model. The record is from RNAcentral.
GACGUGGGGCGCGAGCGUUGUCCGGAUUUAUUGGGCGUAAAGAGCUCGUAGGCGGCUUGUCGCGUCGUUCGUGAAAACUUGGGGCUCAACCCCAAGCUUGCGGUCGAUACGGGCAGGCUGGAGUUCGGUAGGGGAGACUGGAAUUCCUGGUGUAGCGGUGAAAUGCGCAGAUAUCGGGAGGAACACCUAUGGCGAAGGCAGCUCGCUGGGACGUUACUGACGCUGAGACGCGAAAGCGUGGGGAGCAAACAGG